UAAUUGUCUAAUCUCAGUUGGUAAUUCAGAGUGCUGGAAUUCGUUCUCGGAUUAACAGCUGGGAUCGGACAAAUA
Molecule: non-coding RNA, 75 nt
Organism: Capitella teleta
Lineage: Eukaryota; Metazoa; Annelida; Polychaeta; Capitellidae
Source: Rfam